GCAGUCGUGGCCGAGUGGUUAAGGCGAUAGUCUUGAAAACCAUUGGGUUCUUCCCACGCAAGUUCAAAUCCUGCUGAUUGCG
This 82-nucleotide transfer RNA is filed under the name Rhipicephalus microplus (southern cattle tick). Its description in RNAcentral is "tRNA-Ser". It matches the Rfam family "tRNA". From Rfam's summary of the family: Transfer RNA (tRNA) molecules are approximately 80 nucleotides in length. Their secondary structure includes four short double-helical elements and three loops (D, anti-codon, and T loops). Lineage: Eukaryota; Metazoa; Arthropoda; Arachnida; Ixodida; Ixodidae. The record is from Rfam by way of RNAcentral.